AAGGAAGAAAGCAAACAUUUGGGAAGCAUAUUAAGUUAGCUUGUUUGGGUGAGGCUGCACGGCAACAGACUCAGCUUUGCUCCUGAGCUCUCCGAAAAACAGGAUUGUAACAACCACAUACUUGCCAAAUCCUGCACAGAUAACAGCUGUUAGGGACACUCCUUUACUCAAAGUGGAGCCAAGAUCCGAGAUCUGUUGAAAGGAAGGGCUUGCUGGGAACGUCGAAACUUUCCGAACAUGCACGACUUUCUCUUCUCAACGUUCAAGUCCACCCACUCAUCGAGUGGGAGCCUCAUAACACAGGUACAGAGAUGUGAAGCUUUUGAUAGAGAACAUGCACUGCUGGUGGCAAAGUGAUGGACUGGACUGGACUAAGAUCCUGCACUAAGGAUUCCUCCCUGCCAUUCUCAGAAAUAAUUUGAAGUUAUCAGCACAGCCUCUGCUUACCGAGCAACAGGAA
Molecule: long non-coding RNA, 460 nt
Filed under: Anser brachyrhynchus (Pink-footed goose)
Lineage: Eukaryota; Metazoa; Chordata; Aves; Anseriformes; Anatidae
Description: lncRNA (ENSABRG00000003255.1)
Source: RNAcentral